This 61-nucleotide transfer RNA is filed under the name Hypsosinga pygmaea. RNAcentral describes it as "tRNA-Met". The record is from RNAcentral. Lineage: Eukaryota; Metazoa; Arthropoda; Arachnida; Araneae; Araneidae.
GUUUUAAUCAGCUAAUAAAGCUAAUGAGUUCAUACCUCAUAUAUGAAAAUAUAUUACCUCA